UGUGACCGGCAGGUGCAUCCUCACAGCUGGAGCUCGUCAAGCCCAAUCAGGAGGAGGGGAUUCCCAGAGGCAGAUGGCAGAUUGUUUUGCUCCAUGAGUGGAAACCAGUUUUCCCAUUUACAUUCUGUGCUUGGAUUCCAGUGCUCUGCCUCCUUGCUCUCAGAGUUAAUUGGAGAGCUCACCUCAAGAGUCACUCUGUGAAUCUCCUCACAGCUCCUCUUGCUGCUCCCCUGUUUCAUGCUGUCAGGGCCCCUCAACUACAAUCCGCCAAUACUCACCUGUCUCUCCACCCUUCACAGAUCCACUUGGAAGAAAGAACAAAGAAAUCAUCACCAUCAAGCUCAAUCACCACAUGUGAAUCUCAGCCUCUGUUCCCUAGUGCUUUAGACGCUCCACUAUCACCCUGGUUCACAAGAAAUGCACCACCAUAGGAUUAAAUGAAUACAGGCCUGUUGCUGUGACGUCUGUGGUCAUAAAAUCCUUUGAGUGACUGGUGUUGAAGCAUCUGAAGGACAUAACAGGUCCCCUGCUGGACCCCUGUAGUUUGCUUACCAGAAGAACAGGUCAGAAGAUGAUUCAGUCAAUUUGGGACUACCAGCACUGCCAUCAUUCAGUCUGUUAUGUGUUUUUUUUAAGUGUAUUUUAGCUCAUCCACAAAACAACACAGGUUCAGACUGCAAUGAACAAUUAGAUUUGCAGAGAGGACCACCGAGGCCGACCUUCGCCUUAUCCAAGACUUGUGCUGGUCUAGGGUCAGGAAAAGAGCAACAUGUUACCAGUGGGGUCGUAAGGUGCUGUUUUUUCUUAAUAUGCAAAUUUCAGUGUGCAGGUGCCUAUCCGUGAUUGAUGGAUCCAGAAGACCGAUGAACGUCGAUUGGUUACCUGGAUGGAGAUGACGCAUAAAAAGACACUGCUGCGGUGCCCAUCAUUCAUCAUCUGCUUAUCCCAACCAGCCACACCUUUGUCUGUGCACCUGUGUAUCCAUGUGAAUACUUUAAAUCUUUGUUGUAUUGGAGUGAGCUGCCAUUUUAGUUUGUUCUCUGUUUUCUCCCAUUUAUGUUAGUUUGGGAGGUAAUUGUCAUGUUUUUUUUAAAUAUUAAUUAGGUCAGUUUGGGUUAAUAUUUUAGAUUAGUUUCAUUUUGUUUGUUGUGAAGCUCACCCGGAAGUUAAACCCAGCUCCUUCUCUUUAUGUAAAAAACCUGAAACAAAAUAACACAUUGUAAAUAAAUCAUUUCAUACUUUG
Molecule: long non-coding RNA, 1243 nt
Organism: Girardinichthys multiradiatus
Lineage: Eukaryota; Metazoa; Chordata; Actinopteri; Cyprinodontiformes; Goodeidae
Exons: 3
Source: RefSeq, a predicted model, not a curated record